Molecule: ribosomal RNA, 494 nt
Filed under: uncultured bacterium
Lineage: Bacteria
Description: partial 16S ribosomal RNA
Rfam family: Bacterial small subunit ribosomal RNA
Source: RNAcentral
GGGGGGGGGGGGGGGGGGGGUUCGCGCAUGCAAGUCGAGCGGUGAGGCGCCUUCCGUGUGGGGGGGUGGGGAGGGGUGGCGGACGGGUGAGUAACACGUGCGUAACCUGCCCCCUUCUUCUGGAUAACCGCAUGCAAGUGUGGCUAAUACGGGAUAUUCUGGGUCUGUCGCAUGAUGGGUCUGGGAAAGAUAGUGUUUCGGUGGGGGAUGGGGUCGCGUCUUAUCAGCGUGUUGGUGGUGUGAUGGCCUCCCCCGGCGGUGACUGUUAGCAGGCCUGAGGGGGUGGACGGCCACGCGGGGGCUGAGACACGGUCGGGACUCGUACGGGGGCCAGCAGUGGGGAAUAUUGCACAAUGGGCGUAAGGCUGAUGCAGCGGCGCCGCGUGAGGGAUGGAGGCCUUCGGGUUGUGAACCUCUUUCGCCAGUGAAGCAGGCCUGCCUCGUUUGUGGGUGGGUUGACGGUAGCUGGAUAAGAAGCGCCGGCUAACUACGUG